CCAUCUCACCUCCAUGUUUCUUCCUUCCAAUAGCUCACCCUCCAUCAAUUCUUCUUAUUCUUAAUUUCAAACCCUGUUACCAACAACCCCAAUUCACCCUUCUCCUCAAUUACCAACAGUUCACUUCCAUCAAUUUCUCUUAUUCCCAAUUUCAAGCCCUAAUUCCAAUUUUGGGUUACAAAGACAAACCAAAUACCAAUUCGAGAUUCUUUGUAAAAAAUAUUAGGGUAAUGAGAUUUGAUUUCCAAUUACACAAAAUCUAUAGAGGAGCUUGUCAGAUCUGA
This 284-nucleotide long non-coding RNA is filed under the name Medicago truncatula (barrel medic). RNAcentral describes it as "lncRNA gene14434". The record is from RNAcentral. Lineage: Eukaryota; Viridiplantae; Streptophyta; Magnoliopsida; Fabales; Fabaceae.